GACGAACGCUGGCGGCGUGCCUAAUACAUGCAAGUCGAACGCUUCUUUCCUCCCGAGUGCUUGCCCUCAAUUGGAAAGAGGAGUGGCGGACGGGUGAGUAACACGUGGGUAACCUACCCAUCAGAGGGGGAUAACACUUGGAAACAGGUGCUAAUACCGCAUAACAGUUUAUGCCGCAUGGCAUAAGAGUGAAAGGCGCUUUCGGGUGUCGCUGAUGGAUGGACCCGCGGUGCAUUAGCUAGUUGGUGAGGUAACGGCUCACCAAGGCCACGAUGCAUAGCCGACCUGAGAGGGUGAUCGGCCACACUGGGACUGAGACACGGCCCAGACUCCUACGGGAGGCAGCAGUAGGGAAUCUUCGGCAAUGGACGAAAGUCUGACCGAGCAACGCCGCGUGAGUGAAGAAGGUUUUCGGAUCGUAAAACUCUGUUGUUAGAGAAGAACAAGGACGUUAGUAACUGAACGUCCCCUGACGGUAUCUAAUCAGAAAGCCACGGCUAACUACGUG
This 508-nucleotide ribosomal RNA is filed under the name uncultured bacterium. RNAcentral's name for it is "partial 16S ribosomal RNA". It matches the Rfam family "Bacterial small subunit ribosomal RNA", at positions 28 to 507 of the family's 1533-position model. The record is from RNAcentral.